CAUGGCGGCCGCGGGAAUUCGAUUUAUUACCGCGGCUGCUGGCACGUAGUUAGCCGUGACUUUCUGGUUGAUUACCGUCAAAUAAAGGCCAGUUACUACCUCUAUCCUUCUUCACCAACAACAGAGCUUUACGAUCCGAAAACCUUCUUCACUCACGCGGCGUUGCUCCAUCAGACUUUCGUCCAUUGUGGAAGAUUCCCUACUGCUGCCUCCCGUAGGAGUUUGGGCCGUGUCUCAGUCCCAAUGUGGCCGAUCAGUCUCUCAACUCGGCUAUGCAUCAUCGCCUUGGUAGGCCGUUACCCUACCAACUAGCUAAUGCACCGCAGGUCCAUCCAAGAGCGAUAGCAGAACCAUCUUUUAAACAGUUGAUAGGCAUCAUCUGUUGUUAUCCGGUAUUAGCACCUGUUUCCAAUCACUAGUGAAUUCGCGGCCGCCUGCAGGUCGACCAUAUGGGAGAGCUCCCAACGCGU
RNAcentral lists this ribosomal RNA (470 nucleotides) under uncultured bacterium. RNAcentral's name for it is "partial 16S ribosomal RNA". The record is from RNAcentral.